Molecule: ribosomal RNA, 722 nt
Filed under: Salmonella enterica
Lineage: Bacteria; Pseudomonadati; Pseudomonadota; Gammaproteobacteria; Enterobacterales; Enterobacteriaceae
Also listed under: 1 other name
Description: partial 23S ribosomal RNA
Rfam family: Bacterial large subunit ribosomal RNA
Source: RNAcentral
GGGUUGUGAGGUUAAGCGACUAAGCGUACACGGUGGAUGCCCUGGCAGUCAGAGGCGAUGAAGGACGUGCUAAUCUGCGAUAAGCGCCGGUAAGGUGAUAUGAACCGUUAUAACCGGCGAUUUCCGAAUGGGGAAACCCAGUGUGACUCGUCACACUAUCAUUAACUGAAUCCAUAGGUUAAUGAGGCGAACCGGGGGAACUGAAACAUCUAAGUACCCCGAGGAAAAGAAAUCAACCGAGAUUCCCCCAGUAGCGGCGAGCGAACGGGGAGGAGCCCAGAGCCUGAAUCAGCAUAUGUGUUAGUGGAAGCGUCUGGAAAGGCGCGCGAUACAGGGUGACAGCCCCGUACACAAAAGCGCAUGUGCUGUGAGCUCGAUGAGUAGGGCGGGACACGUGGUAUCCUGUCUGAAUAUGGGGGGACCAUCCUCCAAGGCUAAAUACUCCUGACUGACCGAUAGUGAACCAGUACCGUGAGGGAAAGGCGAAAAGAACCCCGGCGAGGGGAGUGAAAAAGAACCUGAAACCGUGUACGUACAAGCAGUGGGAGCCCCACCACUAAGCCAGUGGUGAACUCCACAUACGCAUCCUUUGCUGAGGAUACGGUUAACGGAGCGCAAGCGACGUUCAACCGCAAAAGAAGCAGAGGGGGCUUAGUGGUGGGGUGACUGCGUACCUUUUGUAUAAUGGGUCAGCGACUUAUAUUCUGUAGCAAGGUUAACCG